UGGCUCAGAACGAACGCUGGCGGCGCGUUUAAGCAUGCAAGUCGAGCGGCAAGGGCCUUCGGGCCCCUAGAGCGGCGGACGGGUGAGUAACACGUGGACAAUCUGCCCCCCGGCCCGGGAUAGCCCAGGGAAACCUGGAUUAAUACCGGAUGAGACGGGGCCCGCGAUGGCGGGACCCGGGAAAGGCGCUGCGGCGCCGCCGGGGGAUGAGUCUGCGUCCCAUUAGCUAGACGGCGGGGUAACGGCCCACCGUGGCGACGAUGGGUAGCCGGCCUGAGAGGGUGGACGGCCACAUUGGAACUGAGACACGGUCCAGACUCCUACGGGAGGCAGCAGCUAAGAAUCUUCCGCAAUGGGCGAAAGCCUGACGGAGCGACGCCGCCGUGAACGAAGAAGGCCGUGAGGUUGUAAAGUUCUUUCGGGAGGGGGAACAACCGUGGCAGGGAAUGGCCGCGGGAUGACGUGAAUCCCGGAAUAAGCCCCGGCUAACUACGUGCCAGCAGCAGC
RNAcentral lists this ribosomal RNA (507 nucleotides) under uncultured bacterium. RNAcentral's name for it is "bacterial SSU rRNA". It matches the Rfam family "Bacterial small subunit ribosomal RNA", at positions 20 to 518 of the family's 1533-position model. The record is from RNAcentral.